This 2896-nucleotide ribosomal RNA is filed under the name Escherichia coli. Its description in RNAcentral is "23S ribosomal RNA". It matches the Rfam family "Bacterial large subunit ribosomal RNA". The record is from RNAcentral. Lineage: Bacteria; Pseudomonadati; Pseudomonadota; Gammaproteobacteria; Enterobacterales; Enterobacteriaceae.
GGUUAAGCGACUAAGCGUACACGGUGGAUGCCCUGGCAGUCAGAGGCGAUGAAGGACGUGCUAAUCUGCGAUAAGCGUCGGUAAGGUGAUAUGAACCGUUAUAACCGGCGAUUUCCGAAUGGGGAAACCCAGUGUGUUUCGACACACUAUCAUUAACUGAAUCCAUAGGUUAAUGAGGCGAACCGGGGGAACUGAAACAUCUAAGUACCCCGAGGAAAAGAAAUCAACCGAGAUUCCCCCAGUAGCGGCGAGCGAACGGGGAGCAGCCCAGAGCCUGAAUCAGUGUGUGUGUUAGUGGAAGCGUCUGGAAAGGCGCGCGAUACAGGGUGACAGCCCCGUACACAAAAAUGCACAUGCUGUGAGCUCGAUGAGUAGGGCGGGACACGUGGUAUCCUGUCUGAAUAUGGGGGGACCAUCCUCCAAGGCUAAAUACUCCUGACUGACCGAUAGUGAACCAGUACCGUGAGGGAAAGGCGAAAAGAACCCCGGCGAGGGGAGUGAAAAAGAACCUGAAACCGUGUACGUACAAGCAGUGGGAGCACGCUUAGGCGUGUGACUGCGUACCUUUUGUAUAAUGGGUCAGCGACUUAUAUUCUGUAGCAAGGUUAACCGAAUAGGGGAGCCGAAGGGAAACCGAGUCUUAACUGGGCGUUAAGUUGCAGGGUAUAGACCCGAAACCCGGUGAUCUAGCCAUGGGCAGGUUGAAGGUUGGGUAACACUAACUGGAGGACCGAACCGACUAAUGUUGAAAAAUUAGCGGAUGACUUGUGGCUGGGGGUGAAAGGCCAAUCAAACCGGGAGAUAGCUGGUUCUCCCCGAAAGCUAUUUAGGUAGCGCCUCGUGAAUUCAUCUCCGGGGGUAGAGCACUGUUUCGGCAAGGGGGUCAUCCCGACUUACCAACCCGAUGCAAACUGCGAAUACCGGAGAAUGUUAUCACGGGAGACACACGGCGGGUGCUAACGUCCGUCGUGAAGAGGGAAACAACCCAGACCGCCAGCUAAGGUCCCAAAGUCAUGGUUAAGUGGGAAACGAUGUGGGAAGGCCCAGACAGCCAGGAUGUUGGCUUAGAAGCAGCCAUCAUUUAAAGAAAGCGUAAUAGCUCACUGGUCGAGUCGGCCUGCGCGGAAGAUGUAACGGGGCUAAACCAUGCACCGAAGCUGCGGCAGCGACGCUUAUGCGUUGUUGGGUAGGGGAGCGUUCUGUAAGCCUGUGAAGGUGUACUGUGAGGUAUGCUGGAGGUAUCAGAAGUGCGAAUGCUGACAUAAGUAACGAUAAAGCGGGUGAAAAGCCCGCUCGCCGGAAGACCAAGGGUUCCUGUCCAACGUUAAUCGGGGCAGGGUGAGUCGACCCCUAAGGCGAGGCCGAAAGGCGUAGUCGAUGGGAAACAGGUUAAUAUUCCUGUACUUGGUGUUACUGCGAAGGGGGGACGGAGAAGGCUAUGUUGGCCGGGCGACGGUUGUCCCGGUUUAAGCGUGUAGGCUGGUUUUCCAGGCAAAUCCGGAAAAUCAAGGCUGAGGCGUGAUGACGAGGCACUACGGUGCUGAAGCAACAAAUGCCCUGCUUCCAGGAAAAGCCUCUAAGCAUCAGGUAACAUCAAAUCGUACCCCAAACCGACACAGGUGGUCAGGUAGAGAAUACCAAGGCGCUUGAGAGAACUCGGGUGAAGGAACUAGGCAAAAUGGUGCCGUAACUUCGGGAGAAGGCACGCUGAUAUGUAGGUGAAGUCCCUCGCGGAUGGAGCUGAAAUCAGUCGAAGAUACCAGCUGGCUGCAACUGUUUAUUAAAAACACAGCACUGUGCAAACACGAAAGUGGACGUAUACGGUGUGACGCCUGCCCGGUGCCGGAAGGUUAAUUGAUGGGGUCAGCGCAAGCGAAGCUCUUGAUCGAAGCCCCGGUAAACGGCGGCCGUAACUAUAACGGUCCUAAGGUAGCGAAAUUCCUUGUCGGGUAAGUUCCGACCUGCACGAAUGGCGUAAUGAUGGCCAGGCUGUCUCCACCCGAGACUCAGUGAAAUUGAACUCGCUGUGAAGAUGCAGUGUACCCGCGGCAAGACGGAAAGACCCCGUGAACCUUUACUAUAGCUUGACACUGAACAUUGAGCCUUGAUGUGUAGGAUAGGUGGGAGGCUUUGAAGUGUGGACGCCAGUCUGCAUGGAGCCGACCUUGAAAUACCACCCUUUAAUGUUUGAUGUUCUAACGUNAUCCGGGUUGCGGACAGUGUCUGGUGGGUAGUUUGACUGGGGCGGUCUCCUCCUAAAGAGUAACGGAGGAGCACGAAGGUUGGCUAAUCCUGGUCGGACAUCAGGAGGUUAGUGCAAUGGCAUAAGCCAGCUUGACUGCGAGCGUGACGGCGCGAGCAGGUGCGAAAGCAGGUCAUAGUGAUCCGGUGGUUCUGAAUGGAAGGGCCAUCGCUCAACGGAUAAAAGGUACUCCGGGGAUAACAGGCUGAUACCGCCCAAGAGUUCAUAUCGACGGCGGUGUUUGGCACCUCGAUGUCGGCUCAUCACAUCCUGGGGCUGAAGUAGGUCCCAAGGGUAUGGCUGUUCGCCAUUUAAAGUGGUACGCGAGCUGGGUUUAGAACGUCGUGAGACAGUUCGGUCCCUAUCUGCCGUGGGCGCUGGAGAACUGAGGGGGGCUGCUCCUAGUACGAGAGGACCGGAGUGGACGCAUCACUGGUGUUCGGGUUGUCAUGCCAAUGGCACUGCCCGGUAGCUAAAUGCGGAAGAGAUAAGUGCUGAAAGCAUCUAAGCACGAAACUUGCCCCGAGAUGAGUUCUCCCUGACUCCUUGAGAGUCCUGAAGGAACGUUGAAGACGACGACGUUGAUAGGCCGGGUGUGUAAGCGCAGCGAUGCGUUGAGCUAACCGGUACUAAUGAACCGUGAGGCUUAACCUU